Molecule: long non-coding RNA, 399 nt
Filed under: Taeniopygia guttata (zebra finch)
Lineage: Eukaryota; Metazoa; Chordata; Aves; Passeriformes; Estrildidae
Description: lncRNA (ENSTGUG00000025584.1)
Source: RNAcentral
CAUCAUCCUUUUGUUUUGAAAAAGGCGAGAAGAAAGCAACAUUCACCUGCUGUUGUCUCACGGAUGCCUCAUGCCUAUUCAUUUCAUUUAGUUGUUUUUCAUAUUCCAAAGUAAACACAUUCUUCCUCACAGUGUUUGGUGUUUGCCAUGUGCUGGAAAAUAGAUUACUGCUGUCUGGUACUUUCUCUUCUGUGGAAAGGAAUUCAAACCAGCAAAGUCUUCCACCUGAAGUAUCCUGUGCACUAUGUAAUGAUUGCCAGCCUCUGAAUCUCUCCUUUUGGCUGACUCCAAAGUUUUCACGAUGCCGGAUUACGGAACCAUAAGAAGCAUGUCUUACAGAUUCACUUACAGCCUGAGAGAAGAAAGUUCCAGAAACUACCACUGGGAUUUAUGGCAAGC